Long non-coding RNA from Andrographis paniculata, 990 nucleotides. RefSeq lists it as uncharacterized. The record is from RefSeq and is a predicted model, not a curated record. Lineage: Eukaryota; Viridiplantae; Streptophyta; Magnoliopsida; Lamiales; Acanthaceae. The transcript is spliced from 4 exons.
AAGAUGGAUACUUUUAGAUAGCUCCCGGAGCAACUGCAGUGCCAACACACUUUCUUCAACCUUCCUUGCAAGUAGCCGGACGAUACAUGUGAUGCUUUCAUUCAAUUCAGCAAUCUUCACCUGAAAGAAGAUCAAUGAAGAUGGGUAUGUAAUCUUCUAUGACUAUCCAUUCCCUAUGUAACUCGCUGUUCUUGCAUAAGUCAUGGAGUUUCUGCAAAGCACAAAGCACUUCUUGAUCAUCGUGUGACUGGAUUUCAGUCUUCAUGGAAGCUAUACUAAUCAUGGUGUUUCGAUUUCUCCACUCCUCCAUGGAUUGUCGCAGAGUUCUGUUUGGCCGCAGAGAUGAUGUGUUCAAUGGAGUCUUUGUUAAUGGGCAGAGAUUAUUUCCAUCAGCAAGCCACUUCUCAAUUGCAGCUCUCUCGAAUGUCUGACCAGACGAUGUCUGCACCGGAUCCACCAUCACAUCUUGAGUUAUUGGACAAUAAAAUGACUGGAGAGGUUCCAGCAGCUGUCUACCAAGCGAAUCACGUUUGAUCAGAGAUUCAUAAGCAAGUCAUUUGUUUCUGAUGCAAUAUCCAGUGAUCCCAACAAAUCGAUCAUAGACCCUCUAAUGUUCUUGGUACUGCUCUCCAAGUCCUCCACAAUCCUCCUGCAACUUAAGAGGAGAUAGAUUUUGUUUCCCUUGCUGCAAUUCGAGAACAACUUCUCUUGAAGCAUCUACUACUUCAGAUAUGGAUCGAGCAAUAUCAUGAAGAUUGUAGGAAGCCAUAUGGGAGGGAGUAUUCUAUUUUGGCGUUAUAGAACUGAGCAAUUGAAGAUCAAUUUUUCAGUCUGGAGAAGUGAACUGCUUCGUCUCCUGGUGUAGUACGUUCUUAACUUGAUUCUUUCUGCAGAAGAAACUGCACCAAAUGUGUGUAGUAUACAUAUAUAUAUAACCUUUGCUGAAACUUAAUCAUUUAUGCUGUGGAAAAAAAAAAAUGGAUGUAUGUA